GUUAAAACAAAGUUAUUUAUACCCUUGUCGUUACUAAUUUCACCAUUUAUACCCCUCAAUUGACGGAAAUCCCCAAACUAACUCAAAUUAACCAAUUUUUACUUAAAUUGCCCAAUUUUAACCCGACCCGACCCACCCAAUAAUAUAACCCAUUUUUGUUCUAUCUUCAUUCUUGUUCAUCUUCAUCUUCAUCUUUAAACUUGUGGAUUCCGUAGCUUUAAGUUCUUUCGAAAAAUUCCAAUAAUGUUCUUAAGCUGACAUAGGUUGAUACAUAGGCAUUACUAUUCAUCAAUUUAUAAUUUUUCCCAUACCUGCUCGAUAUAAAGUUCAAUGUUGGUGGCUGGUUCCUUGUGAACUAUGCGAGGCAUAAGAAGAUUCCAAAGAGAGCUAGGUCUUCCUCUCUGAUUCCAAGAACGGGUCAAAGGAAAACUGACUCUGCUCUCUGCUCUCUCAUCCAGACCCACAUCGCUAACAGUGUCCAGCCAUCACCGUGAAAUCCUAACUCCGGUAGACCGGAGGAAAUCAACAACGACGAAUUAGAGCUCCAAGCUCCAGUAAUUUCGACAAUUUUUUAGAUCUGACUGAAAAAUAAUGCUCCGAUUAUCUGUAUUUAAUCAUUGUUGUGUUCUUGUGUUUUUGGGUUCAUAGCCAUUAUUACAUUAUUUUCGA
Long non-coding RNA from Solanum tuberosum (potato), 669 nucleotides. RefSeq lists it as uncharacterized. The transcript is spliced from 2 exons. NCBI's taxonomy places the organism in Eukaryota, Viridiplantae, Streptophyta, Magnoliopsida, Solanales, Solanaceae. The record is from RefSeq and is a predicted model, not a curated record.